UUGAUAGUGGUUUUUAAGAUUGAUUUUGAUUGAUAGUAAAUUCUAAAUAUUUUGAAUCACCUUUGUUAGACAUUGGUGACCUAUGAAAACUUAUUUUGUUUCUUUUAUUUGACGUUUAGAGCAUAAAUUAUGUGAAUCUUAUAAAAAAAAAAGAUUGAAGAAGGAUUUUGGUAGCAAAGGGAGUAAUUAAGGCACCAAUAUAGAUGAAUGGAAAUGGAUGAUUAAAAUCUCUAUUCCUAUUGGUCAAAAAUCAUGACCAAUGGCCUUUGAGGAGGCUUCUCGAGGCCAUAUUAGGGAUUAGGGUUAGUUUUUCGAAGCCAUUCGAGCUUUGCAGGCUAGGGCCAACAAGUUUAGAUUUUUGGCUAUGAUUUUGGUAUAAAUUUUAAAUGGUUUGGA
This 396-nucleotide long non-coding RNA is filed under the name Physcomitrium patens. RNAcentral describes it as "long non-coding RNA (PPAT_LNC010605)". The record is from RNAcentral. Lineage: Eukaryota; Viridiplantae; Streptophyta; Bryopsida; Funariales; Funariaceae.